This is a non-coding RNA of Trichobilharzia regenti, 114 nucleotides long. The record is from Rfam. Lineage: Eukaryota; Metazoa; Platyhelminthes; Trematoda; Strigeidida; Schistosomatidae.
GUGGGUUAUGGUGAUAUGCGUCCUGUGACCGUGUGUGGAAAAUUGAUUGGCUCUUUGUGUGCUAUCGCUGGUGUAUUAACAAUCGCAUUACCUGUACCGGUUAUUGUAUCAAAC